AUUGGAGUAAUUCAUUAACAAGCCAAGGAACACCAAGGAUGGAGAGAGGCAUGGAAGUGAUUUUCUCUUGGAGGACUCAGGAGGAACCAACCCUGACAACACCUUGAUUUCAGACUUCUAACCUCUAGAAAUAUUCAACAAAGACAACCAGACGGCUCUGUGUGGUGUUUGGAGAGCAGUCCCUGUUGAAGCUCUUCUGCAGACUUUGAUCCUGGACGGCUAGAACUAGAAGAGAGCAGGAAGAGACCAAAAACGAAGAUAAGAAAUCAACAACUUACCUUUUUCACCCGACCUGCCCUCACUUUAGAACCCUAAGUUUGAAGUUUACUUAGUGAAAGAGAGUGAGAAAGAGAUCAAUGAUCAUUCAGAUGACUCUGAAGGUUUAAACUGGUCUGAAAGGAGUUUGCUUGCUUAUAAGGUGCUUAUUUGUUUAUUUGUUUGUUUGUUUAUUUUAUGGUGGCAAAAUACUCAAGAACAUGAAAUUUACCAUUUUUAAAUAUAGAGUAAAGGCAGUGGG
This 517-nucleotide long non-coding RNA is filed under the name Equus asinus (donkey). Its description in RNAcentral is "lncRNA (ENSEASG00005033273.1)". Lineage: Eukaryota; Metazoa; Chordata; Mammalia; Perissodactyla; Equidae. The record is from RNAcentral.